This 620-nucleotide long non-coding RNA is filed under the name Rattus norvegicus (Norway rat). Its description in RNAcentral is "long non-coding RNA NONRATT029385". The record is from RNAcentral. Lineage: Eukaryota; Metazoa; Chordata; Mammalia; Rodentia; Muridae.
AUAUAGUAGCAGCAAACUACUUGAGAGAUUUUCUUUUGUGUUUAGUUAUUUUAAAGAAAGCAUAACAGUGUUAUGUUAGCACAGAGUGUGACAGCUCCCUCUUCAUCCUUUACUCUGUGACUUGGCCUUCUCUACAAUAUUUUAUACCAAAGAUUAAGAACAAACUUGGUCUUGACUAAAACGUAGUGAAGCGGCUGGUAAAAUCUCUCACCAUACGUCAGCUAUGAGUCAUUUUCAAAAAUAACGAAUGAGCACCGUUUACCACAUUAUUCAAGUGUAAUUACUAUCUGAAAUAGGUGGUUACGAUUACAGUGAUCCAAUAAGGUUGUCUGGUAAAACCAACAACUCCAGAGCUCCAGGGACUAAACCACCAUCCAGAGAGUACACAUGGACAGACCCACGGCCCCAGCUGCAUGUGUAGCAGAGGAUGGCCUUGUUGGGCACCAGUGGGAGGGGAAGCCCUUGGUCCCCAGGAGGGGAGGUAGGAAUGAGGGGUGGCUGGGGAGGGGGGACACCCUUUUAGAAGAAGGGAAGGGGGAUGGGAUAGGGGGCUUAUGGCUCAGAAACUGGGAAAGGGAAUAACUUUUGAAAUGUAAAUAAAAGGUACCCAAUUAAAAAAA